AUAUAUAUCUGUAUCUAGCUCCGUAUAUAUAUAUAUAGAUAUCUCCAUAUAUAUGGAGAUAGAUAUAGAUAUAAAACAAGCAAAGAA
Molecule: microRNA precursor, 87 nt
Filed under: Pan troglodytes (chimpanzee)
Lineage: Eukaryota; Metazoa; Chordata; Mammalia; Primates; Hominidae
Description: miRNA
Source: RNAcentral